AGCGAACGCUGGCGGCAGGCCUAACACAUGCAAGUCGAACGAACCCUUCGGAGUUAGUGGCGGACGGGUGAGUAACACGUGGGAACGUGCCCUUUGGUUCGGAAUAACUCAGGGAAACUUGUGCUAAUACCGAAUGUGCCCUUCGGGGGAAAGAUUUAUCGCCAUUAGAUCGGCCCGCGUCUGAUUAGCUAGUUGGUGAGGUAACGGCUCACCAAGGCGACGAUCAGUAGCUGGUCUGAGAGGAUGACCAGCCACACUGGGACUGAGACACGGCCCAGACUCCUACGGGAGGCAGCAGUGGGGAAUCUUGCGCAAUGGGCGAAAGCCUGACGCAGCCAUGCCGCGUGAAUGAUGAAGGUCUUAGGAUUGUAAAAUUCUUUCACCGGGGACGAUAAUGACGGUACCCGGAGAAGAAGCCCCGGCUAACUUCGUG
This 433-nucleotide ribosomal RNA is filed under the name uncultured bacterium. RNAcentral describes it as "partial 16S ribosomal RNA". It matches the Rfam family "Bacterial small subunit ribosomal RNA", at positions 29 to 507 of the family's 1533-position model. The record is from RNAcentral.